GUAGCAACUGCCUCAUCUUUUCCAUCUAUGGAGUGUGGAAUAUGUGCCCUACUUCAUUCAGGAAUGUUGGACAAACCGGCUAUUUAGAGAGUGAAGGAGAGGAACUUCCGAGAGCAACUGGCCCCCAAGAGAAACCCAGGGACUCCUGCCCUUCGGCAGCUUUGUCCAUGUGCUGCUCACACCAAAAAGCACUCGAGGGUGACCUGCACCAAAAAUGCAUUGCCGUAGUCUGGGCACAGUGGAUCACGCCUGUAAUCCCAGCUCUUUGGGAGGCCAAGAGAAGUUAGAACACUUGAAAUCAGCUAAGCGAGAAUGCCAUCAGCAGUGCAUCGAUCUCAGCUGCAUCCAGGUGUAUCAGUUGAAUGGCAGAGGGACUAGAAAUUACAUUUCAUGAAGAAAACUUACAGAACUGAAGAUAUUUAGGCUGCAAAAGAAAAGACUAAGGUAAGCCUGUGGGCAGGUUAAGGUUUAAAACACUAAGAGUUCACCUGUAGACUAAUGCUUAGAAAGAGAAGACAAGAAAAAUGAGGAACGGAAUACAGAGAAACAAAUCUUGGCUUAUUUUAAAUCCUUUUCAGAGAACAGUAUACAAGCAUGGUGAAGAGUGAAAUGUCUACUGCUAAACUACAGAGGUAUCCGAUACAGGUUCUUAAGUGCUGAGGGACUUUGCAUAAAUUACUGAGGCUGUGGUUUUGGUUUUCUCCAGUGUAAAUAGUGUUGAAUACAGUAUCCAUAAAAUACCUGAACAGGUUGAGAAAGGAAAUGUGUAUAAAGUGGUUAAAAAGAGACUGACACAAAGUAAGUGCUCUAUAAAAAUUGCCUGUAAAAAAUAAGACUACCACAA
RNAcentral lists this long non-coding RNA (844 nucleotides) under Pan paniscus (pygmy chimpanzee). RNAcentral's name for it is "lncRNA (ENSPPAG00000044844.1)". Lineage: Eukaryota; Metazoa; Chordata; Mammalia; Primates; Hominidae. The record is from RNAcentral.